AGGGGGACGCAGGAUCCUGGGCUGUGUCCCCUAGUGCCCUUGGCUCCCGGGCCUUCACAGCUGGAAUCACACUUCCAGGACUUCGCAGCCCCCU
This 94-nucleotide microRNA precursor is filed under the name Canis lupus familiaris (dog). RNAcentral describes it as "mir-8799 microRNA precursor family". It matches the Rfam family "mir-8799 microRNA precursor family". Lineage: Eukaryota; Metazoa; Chordata; Mammalia; Carnivora; Canidae. RNAcentral also lists the same sequence under 1 other name. The record is from Rfam by way of RNAcentral.